RNAcentral lists this long non-coding RNA (341 nucleotides) under Mytilus galloprovincialis (Mediterranean mussel). Lineage: Eukaryota; Metazoa; Mollusca; Bivalvia; Mytilida; Mytilidae. The record is from RNAcentral.
UUUUUUUUGAAAAGAUCAAAAUUGUAUAUUUCAAAAACACUGGAACUAGAUAUCAGAAAAACAUAAUGGGCAAUUAGACUGGAAGGAAUGUGUGAAACGGCAAGAGAGGACAUGUAAGGGUUUGCAAUGCCAAACAGAUACAAACAGUACAGUCAUAGACGUUUGAGCUGGCAAUCACUCUUUAGAUGCAAGCAUACGAAGAUGUUGGGUCUUGAAUUGGUUUUCCUUUCGCUCAAUUCGAAACAGUUGAAUGAGGGCUAUGGAACUGCAGAAGCACUCCAGAAUCACAAGGCAAAAUGGCACAAAUCAUGUCAAACAAAUUUUCAGACCUCAAAAUAUUU